This 556-nucleotide ribosomal RNA is filed under the name Streptococcus australis. Its description in RNAcentral is "bacterial SSU rRNA". It matches the Rfam family "Bacterial small subunit ribosomal RNA", at positions 384 to 930 of the family's 1533-position model. Lineage: Bacteria; Bacillati; Bacillota; Bacilli; Lactobacillales; Streptococcaceae. The record is from RNAcentral.
UGACCGAGCAACGCCGCGUGAGUGAAGAAGGUUUUCGGAUGCGUAAGCUCUGUUGUAAGAGAAGAACGAGUGUGAGAGUGGAAAGUUCACACUGUGACGGUAUCUUACCAGAAAGGGACGGCUAACUACGUGCCAGCAGCCGCGGUAAUACGUAGGUCCCGAGCGUUAUCCGGAUUUAUUGGGCGUAAAGCGAGCGCAGGCGGUUAGAUAAGUCUGAAGUUAAAGGCUGUGGCUUAACCAUAGUACGCUUUGGAAACUGUUUAACUUGAGUGCAGAAGGGGAGAGUGGAAUUCCAUGUGUAGCAGUGAAAUGCGUAGAUAUAUUGGAAGGAACACCGGUGGGCAAAAGCGGCUCUCUGGUCUGUAACUGACGCUGAGGCUCGAAAGCGUGGGGAGCAAACAGGAUUAGAUACCCUGGUAGUCCACGCCGUAAACGAUGAGUGCUAGGUGUGGUCCUUUCCGGGACUCAGUGCCGCAGCUAACGCAUUAAGCACUCCGCCUGGGGAGUACGACCGCAAGGUUGAAACUCAAAAGAAUUGACGGGGGCCCGCACGAGC